UUGAUCCUGGCUCAGAGCGAACGUUGGCGGCGUGGAUUAGGCAUGCAAGUCGAGGGAGAAAGCGGGGGCAACUCUGCGAGUAAACCGGCGAAAGGGUGAGUAAUAUGUGGUCAAUCUACCUCCAAGAUGGGGACAACCACUGGAAACGGUGGCUAAUACCCAAUGGUUCCGCUGGGUGGCAUCAUUCGGCGGACAAACGGUGGGGACCUUCGGGCCUUCUGCUUGGAGAGGAGACCACAUCCUAUCAGCUUGUUGGUGGGGUAACGGCCCACCAAGGCAAUGACGGGUAGGCGGCCUGAGAGGGUGGUCGCCCACACCGGCACUGAGACACUGGCCAGACUCCUACGGGAGGCUGCAGUCGAGAAUCUUCUGCAAUGGACGAAAGUCUGACAGAGCGACGCCGCGUGGAGGAUGAAGGCUCUCGGGUUGUAAACUCCUUUUAGCCGUUAAGAAAAGUUGGGUGUGAAUAACAUCCAACCUGACAAAGGCGGCAGAAAAAGCCCCAGCUAACUACGUGCCAGCAGCUGCGGUAAGACGUAGGGGGCAAACGUUGCUCGGAAUUAUUGGGCAUAAAGCGCACGUAGGUGGUUCUGUAAGUCUGGCGUGAAAGCCCCCGGCUCAACCGGGGAACGGCGUCAGAAACUGCAGGGCUAGAGGGUUGGAGGGGAGACUGGAACUCCUGGUGUAGCGGUGAAAUGCGUAGAUAUCAGGAGGAACGCCCGUGGCGAAAGCGAGUCUCUGGACAACAUCUGACACUGAGGUGCGAAAGCUAGGGGAGCAAACGGGAUCAGAUACCCCGGUAGUCCUAGCCGUAAACGAUGGGCACUAGAUAGGAGCAGGUCCUAUGCCUGUUCCUGUCGGAGCAAAUGUGUUAAGUGCCCCGCCUGGGGAGUAUGCUCGCAAGGGUAAAACUCAAAGGAAUUGACGGGGGCUCACACAAGCGGUGGAGCAUGUGGUUCAAUUCGAGGCAACGCGCAGAACCUUACCUGGGUUUGACAUUCACGGAUUAGCCUGAUGAAAGUCGGGUGACAGCCGAAAGGUUGGAACGUGGACAGGUGUUGCAUGGCUGUCGUCAGCUCGUGUCGUGAGAUGUCGGGUUAAGUCCCAUAACGAGCGAAACCCUUGUCAUUAGUUGCCACCGGGUCAAGCCGAGCACUCUAGUGAGACUGCCGCUGUUAAAGCGGAGGAAGGUGGGGACGACGUCAAGUCAUCAUGGCCUUUAUGCCCAGGGCUACACACGUGCUACAAUGCCUGGUACAGCGGGUUCCCAAGCCGCAAGGUGGAGGUAAUCCCUAAAAACCAGGCCCAGUUCGGAUUGGAGGCUGCAAUUUGCCUCCAUGAAGUCGGAAUCGCUAGUAAUCGCGGAUCAGCUACGCCGCGGUGAAUAUGUUCCUGAGCCUUGUACACACCGCCCGUCAAGCCACGAAAAUUGGGGGUACCCGUAGUCGACGCUCUAACCCGCAAGGGAGGGGCUCGCCGAAGGUAAACUCAAUGAUGGGGACUAAGUCGUAACAAGGUAACC
RNAcentral lists this ribosomal RNA (1522 nucleotides) under uncultured bacterium. RNAcentral's name for it is "bacterial SSU rRNA". It matches the Rfam family "Bacterial small subunit ribosomal RNA". The record is from RNAcentral.